Molecule: ribosomal RNA, 234 nt
Filed under: uncultured Alicycliphilus sp.
Lineage: Bacteria; Pseudomonadati; Pseudomonadota; Betaproteobacteria; Burkholderiales; Comamonadaceae
Description: partial 16S ribosomal RNA
Rfam family: Bacterial small subunit ribosomal RNA
Source: RNAcentral
AGAGAUGCAGUUGGGUGUAAAGCGUGCGCAGGUCGGUUUUUGUAAGACAGAGGUGAAACUCCCCGGGCUCAACCUGGGAACUGCCUUUGUGACUGCAAGGCUGGAGUGCGGCAGAGGGGGAUGGAAUUCCGCGUGUAGCAGUGAAAUGCGUAGAUAUGCGGAGGAACACCGAUGGCGAAGGCAAUCCCCUGGGCCUGCACUGACGCUCAUGCACGAAAGCGUGGGGAGCAAACA